This 91-nucleotide non-coding RNA is filed under the name uncultured Thomasclavelia sp. RNAcentral's name for it is "yjdF RNA". It matches the Rfam family "azaaromatic riboswitch aptamer (yjdF RNA)", at positions 6 to 91 of the family's 101-position model. The record is from RNAcentral. Lineage: Bacteria; Bacillati; Bacillota; Erysipelotrichia; Erysipelotrichales; Coprobacillaceae.
GCUAGAAUAAAAACACAUUGUGGUUGGUAGUCCACAAGCAGCUAAGCUGUCAGUAACCUGCCUCCUUAGGUUGUCCGUUUCUAGAGAUAAA